Non-coding RNA from Xyrichtys novacula (pearly razorfish), 2104 nucleotides. Lineage: Eukaryota; Metazoa; Chordata; Actinopteri; Labriformes; Labridae. The record is from the annotation of a GenBank genome assembly.
CACCAAGUCAUCUCCAUGCCAUGUAUUUGUUCUGCUCUGUCACUGAACCAGCUGCUUCCAAUGAGCAGCCAGGACGGUGAGCUCAUUAGUGAAGGCACCUGGCUGUUACAUUCACGUGAAGUUACCCGCGCUUCUCGCUAUACAGACCAUGUAUAAGCUUGAACGUUACCUUUCACGUUGAUAGAGGAGGUUUGAUGCGCUCCUUGAUGACUCACAACAAGUCGGAAAUAACGUUGUGUGUUGUUGUGCUCACACAGUGCACGUAGGAUCAUUAGUGGAGCAUUGACAUUAAUGAUCAUGUGAAAUUUCUGUAGCGGCGCACAUAAUUAAGCGGUGCACCGCUGCCGAAUGAAUGUACGGGAAACACUGCUGAUACAUAUGAGUCUGAGGUAGACCUAUGUGAGAUAAAAACAAAUUUUUUAUUUAGGUGUGGUGGCUUUUGUUUAGCCAUGGCGGUGCGCUACGAUCAAUAGCAUGUAGAGGAAACCCUGAAAUUACUAGUUUAUGGUUUUUCUUUUUUUUUUUUAUUUCACAAACAUCCUGAUAACAAAUACAUCUAUACAACAUCCUAAAAUUCAAGAGAUGUGAAAACAACAGCCACAACUUCAGAUCGGCAGUCUGAGCAGUGACGCCACAAUGGUGCAAUGUAUUGCCAUGUGAUGUUGGAAACCUCAGUUGAUUGAGCUCACUACAUAGUCAGCUAUAUAGUGAAACCCCAUAUGGGGGUUAGGGGUUAGGGAUUCAUUUUGGACACAGCCUUUUUCUGCUUUUUCUUUUUCUUCUUCUUCUAAUUGUGAAUGUUUUCAGGUAGCGGUUUUGAACCGUCACCCUUCAGCCUCAGAUGGAGACUUUAAAGUUUUGGUUCCAGGUCAUUAGUUGGAUCCUGGACUGACUCUAAAAGAACCGGUCCUCAGAACCACCAGCACCGGGUCUCCUGGAUGUUGGCCUGUUUGGAUCAGAACCGGCUGCACUCAGAAGCUAACAAUGCUAACAUUUGCUAACAGGAGACUUUCUCGAAUGCUGAGUCACUAGUUAAAUUCUGUUGACUCAUCGUGCAGGUGUGGUCAGCAGGUGAUUAUCAGCUGUUCUUAAACCCCUUCAAACUGCUGCCUCUAGAUCAGCUGAUUUUAUUAGCCUACAUCAGCUAACUUAUGCUAAUGUAGGCUAAUAAGACGGCAGUGUUGGAAGCUAGCUGUAACGUUAGCCACAGAUUCAGGCUAAUUACAGUGAUAUUUAAUGUAUUUAUAGUUAUUUCUAAUAUCCUGAAUCUCUGCUGCUAAUGAUCUAACCUGAGCGAUGUUAGCCAGCUAAUGCUAAAGUAGCAUGGCAGCCGAAUGCUAAUGCUAAUGCUAAUGCUAAUGAUCUGCUAAGGGAAGUUUUUCGUAGAACCUGAUCCUGCAGGUGAUUUUUAAACCGGAUUAUUCUGGAAAAUUAAAGGAGUCUGAGAAUUUAGCUUCAGGUUCUGAUUCAGCUCAGACAACAACCAGGAGUCUUUUCAAAAUAAAAGCCUGAAUGUGAAUGACUGUCUUUGUAAAUGAACCUGCUCAGUGUCACAUGAUGGACAGGUGUGACGGACAGGUGUCAUCCAAUCAGAGUUUAUUUUUGUAAAUUAACUUUAGACUUUUGUACAUUUAUUAAAGCAGACCUGAGAUCAGCUGUUUUCUGUUUAUGCGGGGCAGCAAUAACCACAGGCAGAGUGCCGCACGCACGGUUCAAAGGUACAAGGCAGGACACGUCAAAGUUUUUGGGCCGUGGAAUCGGACACAUCAGAAAAGCACAUUUCUACGCUGCAAAACUGCAAAAGACGGCGAAUUGUGAAAAAAUGUGUCGCACGGCUCACUUCCUGAGACCGUUGGAGGGGCACAUGAACGCAGCACCCACAAAAAAAUAUAAUCAUGUGACAGAGUUUGAACUUUUACCUCUGCAGGGGUUCUUUCAGACUGACCUUCAAUCAGUCUUCCUGUUCAUCUGUCUUUAGUUUGUUCUCUGUGGCGCCCAGCAGCUGCUGUAGCCUUAAAGCCAGAGAGGAUGAUGGGAGAUGUAGUCCAGUAGUGAGGUAGGCUGGGACCAGUUCAUGUGCUAAAAUAAAAACCUGGAAACUGUA